Molecule: ribosomal RNA, 395 nt
Filed under: uncultured bacterium
Lineage: Bacteria
Description: bacterial SSU rRNA
Rfam family: Bacterial small subunit ribosomal RNA
Source: RNAcentral
GUGUCAGCCGCCGCGGUAAUACGAAUCGUCCAAACGUUGUUCGGAUUCACUGGGUUUAAAGGGCGCGUAGGCGGUGCGUUAAGUCGGCGGUGAAAUACUUCGGCUCAACCGGAGAAUUGCCGCUGAAACUGGCGUGCUCGAGGGAGGUAGAGGUGCGUGGAACUUCCGGUGGAGCGGUGAAAUGCGUUGAUAUCGGAAGGAACACCUGUGGCGAAAGCGAUGCACUGGACCUCUUCUGACGCUGAGGCGCGAAAGCCAGGGGAGCGAACGGGAUUAGAUACCCCGGUAGUCCUGGCCAUAAACGAUGGGGACUAGAGAGUAGAUGCUCCGAUGUGUUUACUCUCGAAGCAAAAGUGCUAAGUCCCCCACCUGGGGAGUAUGGUCGCAAGGCUGAA